RNAcentral lists this long non-coding RNA (1508 nucleotides) under Oryctolagus cuniculus (rabbit). RNAcentral's name for it is "lncRNA (ENSOCUG00000036478.1)". The record is from RNAcentral. Lineage: Eukaryota; Metazoa; Chordata; Mammalia; Lagomorpha; Leporidae.
AUGGCCCGAGUGCUUGGGCCCCUGCACCCAAGUGGGACACCUGGAAGAAGCUCCUGGCUCCUGGCUUCAGCCUGGCCCAGCCCUGGCCAUUGUGGUCAUUUGUGGAGUGAACCAGCAAUAAAGACCUCUUUAUCUCUGUCUCUCUCUAACUCUGCCUUUCAAAUAAAUAACAAUAAAAAAAAAAAAAAGAUGUAUUUUCGCAGAUUUCCAUCCAAGCUUUGGGGCCCUCCCCUCUCUGCCCGGCCCAGGCCCUGCGUGAGCGCCUCCCGCCGAGACAGAGGCCAGGGCCGAAGGGCGCCGCUCCCGGCCCCAUGCAGGUUUCACGCCUUCCCUUCCCCGGCAGCCCUGUCGUGGCAGACGGCGGAGGACGGCGGCGGGCCGAGCCGGACGCUCCGCGGGGCAGCCAGGCCCGGAAGGCCCCGCGCCUCCGCGCCCCGGACGCACGCACACCCGUCCGGCGGCGACCCGGCGCGCUCGGGGCGGGCUGCGCAGGCGGCGGGCCGGGUCGGGCCGGAGCCUGAGCCGGGGCGGGCAGGGCAGCGGCGGGGCGGGGCGCGGCGGGGCGGGCAGGGCCGGGGCGGGCCGGGCGGGAGGAGCUCGCGCCGCCUGCGCUGCAGCCUGUGCGCCGCCGCCUGCAGCUCCAAGGCGAUUAGGCUUCACCUCCCCGACACUGCCGCCGUCUUCCUGUUCAUGGUGAUUUCAUUGCACUGCAGAGCCACUUGAAGCUCAGCUGCCAGGGCCAGGUGUGUGGCACGGGGUUAGGGUGCCCCUUGGGACUCCCACAGCCUACGUGGGAGCAGGAUGCCCGAGUCAAGUCCCGGCUCUGGCCUUAUUCUGAUUCUAGCUUCUUGCUAACGUGUGCACUAGGAGGUCGCAGGUGGCUCAAGUAUUUGGAUCCUUGCCACGCACGUGGGAGACCUGGAUUAAAUUCCCAGCUCCUGGCUUCAGUGGGCCCAACCCCAACUGUUGCAGGCACUUGGGGAGUAAACCAGAAUAAGAGAGAUUCUCAUUCUUCCUCCCUCUCUCUCUCUCCCCUCCUCCCCUCCCCCUCUCCUCCCUCCUCCUCCUCUCCCUCUUUCCCCUCCAUUCCGUUCCCGCUCCCUCCCCUCCUCCCCCUCCCUCUCCAUUCCCUCCUCCUCCCCCUCCCCUCCUGCCCCUCUCCCUCCCAUCCUCCUCCUCCCCUCCUCCUCCCCUCCUCCUCCCCCUCCCCCCCUCCCCCCUUCUCUCUGCAGGGCUGUUGGGUAUGGGCAACACUUUAUGAGAAACGCUGGGUUGCUUCCAAGGCUGUUAGAGUCCUUUUUGAAGAAGCUGUAGUUUGCCUGGGGCCCCAUGUGUAACCUCCCCCUCCCCCAUCCUACGUGCCCAGCCCCACCCAGCCCCACCCAGCCCCACGGCCUCCCCCUCCCCUUGCUCUAGGCAUUUAAUCUUGCACAACUAGUGAGGAACUGCAGGAAGGGAUCCUGUGUCUUAGGAAUAAAAGGAGUUGAGUAUCUGAGGGUGGGCCUGCU